GAGCUUCCAAAACAGCUCCCUGUGUUUGGCUAGUCAAAAGCCAUCACAAAAAUGGGGCAAUUAAAGGAAGCGAUAUCCUGAACUGCCGGACCCGAC
Gekko japonicus is the source of this 96-nucleotide long non-coding RNA. RefSeq lists it as uncharacterized. NCBI's taxonomy places the organism in Eukaryota, Metazoa, Chordata, Lepidosauria, Squamata, Gekkonidae. The record is from RefSeq and is a predicted model, not a curated record. The transcript has 3 exons.